RNAcentral lists this ribosomal RNA (406 nucleotides) under uncultured bacterium. RNAcentral describes it as "partial 16S ribosomal RNA". It matches the Rfam family "Bacterial small subunit ribosomal RNA", at positions 28 to 526 of the family's 1533-position model. The record is from RNAcentral.
GAUGGACGCUAGCUACAGGCUUAACACAUGCAAGUCGAGUGACCGCCGCACGGUUGAGUAACACGUAUCCAACCUACCCUUUACUCGGCGAUAGCCUUUGGAAAGAAAGGUGAAUACCCGAUAUAAAGGAUGGGGAUGCGUUCCAUUCGGUUGUUGGUGAGGUAACGGCUCACCAAGCCUUCGAUGGAUAGGGGUUCUGAGAGGAAGGUGCCCCACAUGUGAACUGAAACACGGUCCAAACGCCUACGGGAGGCAGCAGUGAGGAAUAUUGGUCAAUGGGAGCUAGCCUGAACCAGCCAAGUAGCGUGAAGGAUGAAGGCUUAUGGGUAGUAAACUUCUUUUAUAUACGAAUAUGUAUUAUAUGGAUAAGGAUCGGAUAACUCCGUGCCAGCAGCCGCGGUAAUUC